GGGAGAGGAGCACCAGGAAGGCACUGGGCACAGGUGUUCAUUUCUAUAACCUGGUCUUCUCCUGCCCUUGCUGCCACCCCACCCUAUUCCAAUCCUGGAAAGCAGCAGCACUGUAGCAGCUAAGAGGUUGGCACAGCAGCAGCAGCAGCGAUCUUCAGGUGCUGUGACUGCUGAUACCAUUUAAUAUUUGUUUAGCCCACUCCAUAUCCGGAGCACUAUUUAAGUCAAGGUACCUGAUUUAGAUCAUUCAAAUUGUGUUGCUUUACUAAUAACACAGUUCUAUGCAUAUCCCCUUAGAAAUAAGUCCUAUUAAAUUCAGGUUACAGGUAGGUAGCCGUGUUGGUCUGACGUAGUCGAAACAAAAUAAAAAAAAUUCCUUCCAGCAGCACCCUUAAAGACCAACUAAGUUUUUAUUUUGGUAAAUAAAAUAUACCAAAAUAAAAACUUA
This is a non-coding RNA of Zootoca vivipara (common lizard), 448 nucleotides long. Lineage: Eukaryota; Metazoa; Chordata; Lepidosauria; Squamata; Lacertidae. The record is from RefSeq and is a predicted model, not a curated record.